Long non-coding RNA from Homo sapiens (human), 190 nucleotides. Ensembl annotates it as long intergenic non-protein coding RNA 2768. NCBI's taxonomy places the organism in Eukaryota, Metazoa, Chordata, Mammalia, Primates, Hominidae. The record is from Ensembl.
ACUUCCCCAAAAGAAGCUAUGCUCGGGCCUUCCCAUCGUCCCACUCAAGAGCUUUCUUCAUAUUGGUCCCUUGGUUGAAUUCUGUGUUCUGAAGAGGCAAGAAUUGAGGUUGCUGCAGACCUGUAUGGAUUCGCCACCAGUAACAAGAUCUCAGAACACUGGAAAAAUCGAUGCACAAAAAAAAAAGGUU